AACGAACGCUGGCGGCAUGCCUAACACAUGCAAGUCGAACGAGACCUUCGGGUCUAGUGGCGCACGGGUGCGUAACGCGUGGGAACCUGCCCUUAGGUUCGGAAUAACUCCCCGAGAGGGGUGCUAAUACCGGAUAAUGUCUUCGGACUAAAGAUUUAUCGCCUUUGGAUGGGCCCGCGUUGGAUUAGCUAGUUGGUAGGGUAAAAGCCUACCAAGGCGACGAUCCAUAGCUGGUCUGAGAGGAUGAUCAGCCACACUGGGACUGAGACACGGCCCAGACUCCUACGGGAGGCAGCAGUGGGGAAUAUUGGACAAUGGGCGAAAGCCUGAUCCAGCAAUGCCGCGUGAGUGAUGAAGGCCUUAGGGUUGUAAAGCUCUUUUACCCGGGAUGAUAAUGACAGUACCGGGAGAAUAAGCUCCGGCUAACUCCGUG
Molecule: ribosomal RNA, 433 nt
Filed under: uncultured bacterium
Lineage: Bacteria
Description: partial 16S ribosomal RNA
Rfam family: Bacterial small subunit ribosomal RNA
Source: RNAcentral